This 671-nucleotide unclassified non-coding RNA is filed under the name Diplogelasinospora grovesii. RNAcentral's name for it is "sequence contains ITS1, 5.8S rRNA gene, ITS2". The stretch from base 181 to 334 matches the Rfam family "5.8S ribosomal RNA". Lineage: Eukaryota; Fungi; Ascomycota; Sordariomycetes; Sordariales; Diplogelasinosporaceae. The record is from RNAcentral.
AUUACAGAGUUACCAAACUCACCAAAACCAUCGCGAACGUUACCCGUACCGUUGCCUCGGCGGGCGGCUCCAUCCCGGAGCCGCAGCCCCCUCACCGGGGCGGCCCGCCGGAGGUCAGCCGGAGAAAAACUCUUUUGUCCUCUAGGGCCUCUCUGAGUAUUUUUGUACUAAACAAGUCAAAACUUUCAACAACGGAUCUCUUGGUUCUGGCAUCGAUGAAGAACGCAGCGAAAUGCGAUAAGUAAUGUGAAUUGCAGAAUUCAGUGAAUCAUCGAAUCUUUGAACGCACAUUGCGCCCGCCAGUAUUCUGGCGGGCAUGCCUGUUCGAGCGUCAUUUCAACCAUCAAGCCCGGCUUGUGUUGGGGACCCUGCGGCUGCCCGCAGGCCCCGAAAUCCAGUGGCGGGCUCGCUGUCACCCCGAGCGCAGUAGAGGUAGUAAUAACCACAUCCUCGCUCAGGGCCGUGAGGGCGGGCUCCAGCCGUUAAAGUGACUUUACCCCACAAAACAAGGUUGACCUCGGAUCAGGUAGGAGUACCCGCUGAACUUAAGCAUAUCAAUAAGCGGAGGAAAAGAAACCAACAGGGAUUGCCCUAGUAACGGCGAGUGAAGCGGCAACAGCUCAAAUUUGAAAUCUGGCCUCGGCCCGAGUUGUAAUUUGUAGAGGAAGCUU